Molecule: transfer RNA, 71 nt
Filed under: Cricetulus griseus (Chinese hamster)
Lineage: Eukaryota; Metazoa; Chordata; Mammalia; Rodentia; Cricetidae
Rfam family: tRNA
About the family: Transfer RNA (tRNA) molecules are approximately 80 nucleotides in length. Their secondary structure includes four short double-helical elements and three loops (D, anti-codon, and T loops). Further hydrogen bonds mediate the characteristic L-shaped molecular structure. tRNAs have two regions of fundamental functional importance: the anti-codon, which is responsible for specific mRNA codon recognition, and the 3' end, to which the tRNAs corresponding amino acid is attached (by aminoacyl-tRNA synthetases). tRNAs cope with the degeneracy of the genetic code in two manners: having more than one tRNA (with a specific anti-codon) for a particular amino acid; and 'wobble' base-pairing, i.e. permitting non-standard base-pairing at the 3rd anti-codon position.
Source: Rfam by way of RNAcentral
AGCAGUGUAGCUCAGCUGUUGGAGUGCUUGCCUAGCAUGCAAGGAGCCCUGGUUUGAGCCCAGCACUGCAC